ACGAGAGUUCUUUGAAUGAGUUUUCGGACAAAUGAGAUUUAACGAAAGUGGCGAACGGGUGAGUAACACGUGAGCAACCUGCCUUACGCAGGGGGAUAGCCAUUGGAAACGGUGAUUAAUACCCCAUAAGACCACAAUACCGCAUGGUAAAAGGGUAAAAGGGAUACCGGUGUAAGAUGGGCUCGCGUCUGAUUAGCUAGUUGGUGGGGUAAAGGCCUACCAAGGCGACGAUCAGUAGCCGGUCUGAGAGGAUGAACGGCCACAUUGGAACUGAGACACGGUCCAAACUCCUACGGGAGGCAGCAGUGGGGAAUAUUGCACAAUGGGGGAAACCCUGAUGCAGCGACGCCGCGAGCGAAGAAGGCUUUCGAGUCGUAAAGCUCUGUCCUAUGAGAAGAUAAUGACGGUAUCAUAGGAGGAAGCCCUGGCUAAAUACGUGCCAGCAGCCGCGGUAAUACGUAUGGGGCGAGCGUUGUCCGGAAUUAUUGGGCGUAAAGGGUACGUAGGCGGUUUUUUAAGUCAGGUGUCAAAGCGUGGAGCUUAACUCCAUUAAGCACUUGAAACUGAAAGACUUGAGUGAAGGAGAGGAAAGUGGAAUUCCUAGUGUAGCGGUGAAAUGCGUAGAUAUUAGGAGGAAUACCGGUGGCGAAGGCGACUUUCUGGACUUUUACUGACGCUCAGGUACGAAAGCGUGGGGAGCAAACAGGAUUGGAUACCCUGGUAGUCCACGCCGUAAACGAUGAAUGCUAGGUGUUGGGAGUCAAAUCUCGGUGCCGAAGUUAACACAUUAAGCAUUCCGCCUGGGGAGUACGGUGGCAACACUGAAACUCAAAGGAAUUGACGGG
RNAcentral lists this ribosomal RNA (845 nucleotides) under uncultured bacterium. RNAcentral's name for it is "bacterial SSU rRNA". It matches the Rfam family "Bacterial small subunit ribosomal RNA", at positions 66 to 917 of the family's 1533-position model. The record is from RNAcentral.